UUUCCUUUCCAAAUAUCCAAAAUGUAAUUAAUGUAAAUUGAGUUAACUAUAUUCCAAUAUCAUUAAAAUCAUAGAGACGAAUUUCAUAACGAAUAAAGAA
Molecule: small RNA, 100 nt
Filed under: Arabidopsis thaliana (thale cress)
Lineage: Eukaryota; Viridiplantae; Streptophyta; Magnoliopsida; Brassicales; Brassicaceae
Description: ATSL112200
Source: RNAcentral